GCGCAGCAGUCGCGAAUAGUCUACAAUGGACGAAAGUCUGAUAGUGCGACGCCGUGUGUGCGAUUAAUUCCUUCGGGAUGUAAAGCACUUUUCUAUGAGAUAAAAGCUCUUUAGGUUAAUAGCUUAUUGAGACGGAUAUUAUUAUAGGAAUAAGCUCCGGCUAACUCCGUGCCAGCAGCCGCGGUAAUACGGAAGGAGCGAGCGUUGUCCGGAUUUACUAGGCGUAAAGGGCUAGUAGGCGACUAAUUAAGUUAUAUGUUAAAUCCCACGGCUCAACUGUGGUCCUGCAUGUAAUACUGGUUAGAUAGAGUACUGUAGAGGAAGGCAGAAUUCCUGGAGUAGCGGUGGAAUGCGCAGAUAUCAGGAAGAAUAUCAAAAGCGAAGGCAGCCUUCUGGGCAGUUACUGACGCUGAAUAGCGAAGGUGUGGGUAGCGAACAGGAUUAGAUACCCGGGUAGU
RNAcentral lists this ribosomal RNA (458 nucleotides) under uncultured microorganism. RNAcentral's name for it is "bacterial SSU rRNA". It matches the Rfam family "Bacterial small subunit ribosomal RNA", at positions 346 to 794 of the family's 1533-position model. The record is from RNAcentral.